GACGAACGCUGGCGGCGUGCUUAACACAUGCAAGUCGAACGGAAAGGCCCUGCUUUUGUGGGGUGCUCGAGUGGCGAACGGGUGAGUAACACGUGAGUAACCUGCCCUUGACUUUGGGAUAACUUCAGGAAACUGGGGCUAAUACCGGAUAGGAGCUCCUGCUGCAUGGUGGGGGUUGGAAAGUUUCGGCGGUUGGGGAUGGACUCGCGGCUUAUCAGCUUGUUGGUGGGGUAGUGGCUUACCAAGGCUUUGACGGGUAGCCGGCCUGAGAGGGUGACCGGCCACAUUGGGACUGAGAUAAGGCCCAGACUCCUACGGGAGGCAGAAGUGGGGAAGAUUGAACAAGGGGCGGAAGCCUGAUGAAGCAACGCCGCGUGCGGGAUGACGGCCUUAGGGUUGUAAACCGAUUUCGCCUGUGACGAAGCGUGAGUGACGGUAAUGGGUAAAGAAGCACAGGCUAACUACGUG
RNAcentral lists this ribosomal RNA (468 nucleotides) under uncultured bacterium. RNAcentral's name for it is "partial 16S ribosomal RNA". It matches the Rfam family "Bacterial small subunit ribosomal RNA", at positions 28 to 507 of the family's 1533-position model. The record is from RNAcentral.